UACAGAGGGUGCGAGCGUUAAUCGGAAUUACUGGGCGUAAAGCGCGCGUAGGCGGCUUUGCAAGUCGGGUGUGAAAUCCCCAGGCUUAACCUGGGAACUGCAUUCGAGACUGCAUUGCUAGAGUAUGGGAGAGGGAAGUGGAAUUUACGGUGUAGCAGUGAAAUGCGUAGAUAUCGUAAGGAAGACCAGUGGCGAAGGCGAGUCUCUGGACAGUUACUGACGCUGAGGCACGAAGGCCAGGGGAGCAAACGGG
This 253-nucleotide ribosomal RNA is filed under the name uncultured bacterium. RNAcentral's name for it is "partial 16S ribosomal RNA". It matches the Rfam family "Bacterial small subunit ribosomal RNA", at positions 524 to 776 of the family's 1533-position model. The record is from RNAcentral.